This is a long non-coding RNA of Piliocolobus tephrosceles (Ugandan red Colobus), 460 nucleotides long. RefSeq lists it as uncharacterized. The record is from RefSeq and is a predicted model, not a curated record. NCBI's taxonomy places the organism in Eukaryota, Metazoa, Chordata, Mammalia, Primates, Cercopithecidae. The transcript has 4 exons.
GAUUCUAGUAGCACCUGCACAGCCAGAGCCACACCCAGGCACUUGCUUUGCUGCAGUUUGGGAGGGAUCCGUGUUCCAGAGCAGCGGCUCCACCAACCUUAGCAUGCCUCAGUUGCUGGGCUCCCAGAGUUUUUGGAUAAGGAAACCGUAGUCCGAAGAGAUUAAAUGAGUGUUCGAGGCCAUUAGCAUCAGGAAUGGAAGGGAAUCCAGGGCUCCGGAGAAGGGAGUGGAGGCAGGACACGGUGAGCCUCUCGGGCCAGGAAUUGGAGGAAAGCAAAAUAAUGAAGCUGGAGCUUAAUGAACAAGGAAGAGACUGGAGCAAAUCAAGCUGGGGUUGAACAGCCAAGACCCAACAGUAACAGGAACAAACCUGAUCCAUGUGGCAGGAAAAAGAGGAACCUGAACCCCUCUGCAAGUAUUCUCUUUCCUGACCAGCUGGGCUUGCCGCACUUUGUGAGAU